Molecule: ribosomal RNA, 255 nt
Filed under: uncultured bacterium
Lineage: Bacteria
Description: partial 16S ribosomal RNA
Rfam family: Bacterial small subunit ribosomal RNA
Source: RNAcentral
UACGAAGGGGGCUAGCGUUGCUCGGAAUCACUGGGCGUAAAGGGUGCGUAGGCGGGUCUUUAAGUCAGGGGGUGAAAUCCUGGAGCUCAACUCCAGAACUGCCUUUGAUACUGAGGAUCUUGAGUAUGGGAGAGGUGAGUGGAACUGCGAGUGUAGAGGUGAAAUUCGUAGAUAUUCGCAAGAACACCAGUGGCGAAGGCGGCUCACUGGCCCAUUACUGACGCUGAGGCACGAAAGCGUGGGGAGCAAACAGGG